RNAcentral lists this non-coding RNA (455 nucleotides) under Gilliamella apis SCGC AB-598-P17. RNAcentral's name for it is "bacterial LSU rRNA". It matches the Rfam family "Bacterial large subunit ribosomal RNA", at positions 366 to 821 of the family's 2925-position model. The record is from RNAcentral. Lineage: Bacteria; Pseudomonadati; Pseudomonadota; Gammaproteobacteria; Orbales; Orbaceae.
GAAAGUCCCGUACACGAAGAUGCGUUAUGUGGAAGCUUAUAGAGUAGGGCGGGACACGUGAUAUCCUGUCUGAAGAUGGGGGGACCAUCCUCCAAGGCUAAAUACUCCUGAUUGACCGAUAGUGAACCAGUACCGUGAGGGAAAGGCGAAAAGAACCCCGGGAGGGGAGUGAAAUAGAUCCUGAAACCGUGUACGUACAAUCAGUGGGAGCUGUUACCGUUGGGUAAUAGUGACUGCGUACCUUUUGUAUAAUGGGUCAGCGACUUAUAUUCUGUAGCAAGGUUAACCGAAUAGGGGAGCCGAAGGGAAACCGAGUAUUAACUGUGCGUUAAGUUGCAGGGUAUAGACCCGAAACCCGGUGAUCUAGCCAUGGGCAGGUUGAAGGUUGGUUAACACUAACUGGAGGACCGAACCGACUAAUGUUGAAAAAUUAGCGGAUGACCUGUGGCUGGGGG